CCUACGGGAGGCAGCAGUGGGGAAUAUUGCGCAAUGGGCGAACGCCUGACGCAGCGACGCCGCGUGAGGGAUGAAGGUCUUCGGAUCGUAAACCUCUGUCAGCAGGGAAGAACGGUCACUGUGCUAAUCAGCAGUGAAUUGACGGUACCUGCAAAGGAAGCACCGGCUAACUCCGUGCCAGCAGCCGCGGUAAUACGGCGGGUGCGAGCGUUGAUCGGAAUUACUGGGCGUAAAGCGCUCGUAGGCGGUAUGUCAAGUCAAGGGUGAAAUCCCCGCGCUCAACGUGGGAACUGCCUUUGAAACUGGCAAACUGGGGUGUGUGAGAGGAUAGUGGAAUUCCAGGUGUAGGAGUGAAAUCCGGAGAUAUCUGGAGGAACAUCAGUGGCGAAGGCGACUAUCUGGCACAUAACUGACGCUGAGGAGCGAAAGCGUGGGUAGCAAACAGGAUUAGAUACCCUAGUAGUC
This 465-nucleotide ribosomal RNA is filed under the name uncultured bacterium. Its description in RNAcentral is "partial 16S ribosomal RNA". It matches the Rfam family "Bacterial small subunit ribosomal RNA", at positions 338 to 795 of the family's 1533-position model. The record is from RNAcentral.